UCCUACGGGAGGCAGCAGUAGGGAAUCUUCCGCAAUGGACGAAAGUCUGACGGAGCAACGCCGCGUGAGUGAUGAAGGCUUUCGGGUCGUAAAACUCUGUUGUUAGGGAAGAACAAGUGCUAGUUGAAUAAGCUGGCACCUUGACGGUACCUAACCAGAAAGCCACGGCUAACUACGUGCCAGCAGCCGCGGUAAUACGUAGGUGGCAAGCGUUAUCCGGAAUUAUUGGGCGUAAAGCGCGCGCAGGUGGUUUCUUAAGUCUGAUGUGAAAGCCCACGGCUCAACCGUGGAGGGUCAUUGGAAACUGGGAGACUUGAGUGCAGAAGAGGAAAGUGGAAUUCCAUGUGUAGCGGUGAAAUGCGUAGAGAUAUGGAGGAACACCAGUGGCGAAGGCGACUUUCUGGUCUGUAACUGACACUGAGGCGCGAAAGCGUGGGGAGCAAACAGGAUUAGAUACCCUGGUAGUCCACGCCGUAAACGAUGAGUGCUAAGUGUUAGAGGGCUUCCGCCCUUUAGUGCUGAAGUUAACGCAUUAAGCACUCCGCCUGGGGAGUACGGCCGCAAGGCUGAAACUCAAAGGAAUUGACGGA
RNAcentral lists this ribosomal RNA (590 nucleotides) under uncultured bacterium. Its description in RNAcentral is "bacterial SSU rRNA". It matches the Rfam family "Bacterial small subunit ribosomal RNA", at positions 337 to 917 of the family's 1533-position model. The record is from RNAcentral.